AGCGGAUUAGCGGCGGACGGGUGAGUAACACGUGAGUAACCUGCCUUAGACAUUGGGAUAGCCUCGGGAAACCGGGAUUAAUACCAAAUAAAAUCAUAAUGUCACAUGUCAUAACGAUCAAAACUCCGGUGGUCUAAGAUGGACUCGCGUCCCAUUAGCUAGUUGGUAGAGUAAAAGCCUACCAAGGCGACGAUGGGUAGCCGGCCUGAGAGGGUGAACGGCCACAUUGGAACUGAGAAACGGUCCAA
Molecule: ribosomal RNA, 248 nt
Filed under: uncultured Eubacteriales bacterium
Lineage: Bacteria; Bacillati; Bacillota; Clostridia; Eubacteriales
Description: uncultured Clostridiales bacterium partial 16S ribosomal RNA
Rfam family: Bacterial small subunit ribosomal RNA
Source: RNAcentral